This 2952-nucleotide long non-coding RNA is filed under the name Bos grunniens (domestic yak). RNAcentral's name for it is "lncRNA (ENSBGRG00000023000.1)". The record is from RNAcentral. Lineage: Eukaryota; Metazoa; Chordata; Mammalia; Artiodactyla; Bovidae.
AUGAGGCUUCAACAAACACAAUAUGGGUGUCCCCAUCUUGUGGGAUCAAGUCCGCCCCAGGCCCGUGAGGCCCUGCUGGUGGAGAAUGGAGGACAGAUGGAGGAAGUGGCCUUUGUGAUGGGACUGGCUGCCUGGAGGCCAAGUGCAGGGUGUGGUGGCAGCCCCAGCUGUGGUUCCUGUGAAGUCAUCCCUUUAUGCAUCUGCCUGAUUUCCUCUCUCAGAUCUGCUGGAAAAGCCCCGAGGAAACCACUAGUGGCCCUGCAGGGACCACAUGCGCCUCCACAUGGCCUCCCGGCUACCCUGGCCCCAGGUCUCGGCCCCAUGUGGGGACCAGAGACGCCUGGUGAAAACCCAGUGGCUUCACAUCUCUCCUGGGCUCCCCCCAGUACUUGGAGGCCUUGAUGACCUGCGUCGUGUGCACUGUCAACCCACCUCCAACCCCCAUGGCAUGCUGGGGAAGUACUCUCUGAAAAAAUAAAGUCAAUAAAAUGUAAAGAAUGGAAAGUCCUAAUUUUAGCACUUGCCAGUUUCUGUGGCUGAUCUCAAGCCAGCAGCACAUCGCUGGAGGCUGAGCUGCACACGGUUACCUGUGAGUCAGCGCAGGCUGUGCAAGCCGGUGCCCGUCAGCUUCUCUGAUCCUCGAGCACAUUCCUCCCCAGGGCCUUCACACCAACUGUGCUCUCGCUGUGGCGUGGGAGCUCCUGCCCCACACCUGCACAGGACUUGCCUCUUCCCUGCUUUCAGGACGUUGUGCAUCAUCCACAGUAACCCUCCUCACUCUCCAGCCCUCUUCUCUGCUUUUUUCCCUCAGAGCAGCUUCCACAGUGCUGGAUUAUCAAGUAAGUUUACAUGUUUGCCUCCCUACUAGAAAGUCACUCCAUGAGGGCAAGGGCCAUGCCUGUCUUGUUUUCCACUUAACUCCAAGCACCUAGCCCAGUGCCUGGCACACAGUAGGAGCUCAAUAAACACCUGUUGAGUGAGCGAUAACUCUCAGCUCAGUAAGCUUGGCUCCCAUGACCUUGAUGUUUAUUUUGUGCAUUGGUUGGAGCCACUCAAUACACCCCACCCCCACAGGAGCCAGUUGGACACACAAACUUCAGCCCCACUCCACUCCCACUCUGCCUGUGCAGCCUUGGUGAGGCUCUCUCCAUCUCUGAGGCUCCUGGAUUUGUCUCCUGUGAGGGAGGAUUAACUAAUAACUUCCACCUCCUGACCUACUGUGGGCACCACAUGGCUGAAUGGAUGGGAAAGCACUUUGCAACUUAUAGCUGCUAAAAUUUAGGAGCUCCCAUCCCCCCACUAUUUCUCAGAAGGAAAGACAUUUUGUAGUUAUUAGAAACAUCCUGAUGCUGCUGCUGCUAAGUCACUUCAGUCAUGUCCGACUCUGUGCGACCCCAUAGACUGCAGCCCACCAGGCUCCCCCAUCCCUGGGAUUCUCCAGGCAAGAACACUGGAGUGGGUUGCCAUUUCCUUCUUCAAUGCAUGAAAGUGAAAAGUGAAAGGGAAGUUGCUCAGUCGUGUCCAACUCUUAGCGACCCCAUGGACUGCAGCCUACCAGGCUCCUCUGUCCAUGGGAUUUUUCCAGGCAAGAAUACUGGAGUGGGUCGCCAGUGCCUCCUCCAUAGAAACAUUCUAGAACUGUCGAAAGUGCUCACAAUCAGCUACACAUGAUGUAAAAGCAUAAAUCAUUCAGUAACAGCUUUUUUAAAAAAAAUCUAGUAGAAAACUUGACUUUUCAUUAUUUUCAUCAAGUAGAAAACUGAGGAAGUGACCUUAACGAAGCAAUCUCCACUUAGAGCAAGUCUUCUUGACCACCAUGUGGAGAUGCUUACCUGGCUCUGUCUUGUCUGGCAAACUUCUUAAAAAAAAAAAAAAAUCUUUCUGUUGUCCCUUCCCCAUUCUUGAGGACUUCAAUACAUUUCAAAAUGAUGCCAGGACCUCCCUGGUGGUCCAGUGGCUAAGACACCAAGCUCCCAAUGCAGGGGGCUUGGGUUCCAUCCCUGGUCGGGGAACUAGAUCCCACAUGCCACAACUAAAGAGCCUGCAUGCCACCACAAAGAUCGAAGACCCCAGGUGCCCACAACUAAGACCCCAUGCAGCUAAAUAAAUAUAUAUUUUUUAAUGUCAUUCUAAAUUCUCCCAGCUCUCAGCUGUCUCUUCCUAGGGAGCCUCUCCCACUGUCCCCUGGGCCCCAUCCCUCUCCACUCAACCUCCUGUCUCUCUUCUGGGUACCUGGAAGGAGUGAUGUCCCAAAGGAAGGAACCAUCUGUCCAGGACCAUGCAGAGUGGCUGGCACAUGACACCCCCUCCCAUGAGCCAGUCAGGCCACGCCUCUGCCACCUCAAGACCCAGAUGAGGGAUUAGAUAACAAUGCCAAAUGAGCUUUCUCUGCCCUACCUAACAUCAUCUAAAAAUUCACCCAAUGUGACAAAAUUAGGAGAGUUCAAGGAAACAGAGAUUUCCCAGCUGUGAACCCCAAUGUCUACUACCAGGGCUGGUUUCUGCUGGUAGGCGUGGCUUCCGGCCAUUAGCAGGCACCCGUGAGGACAGGCUUGGUGUGUUUUGAUCAACUAGACCUCUGAUCAGGUUGGUUGGGGUCUGUGUCAUGUGAGUUAUUCAACAUUUUAAACACCACACCUUCUUCAACAACCACUUGGGACCGAGCAUGCCUCAUUAUCCCCUGGAUUAUUUCCACACCUGAACUCAUGUUUCUGACAGCUGCAUCUUUCAGCACAGCAGGAAAACAAAAGCUAGACACAGAGACAUGCUUGUUGAGACAGACAGCAGCAGCAUGUGGUUCUCCGAGGAGAGGAGAAUGCGUGACUCAACACUCAUUCUAACUAUGACUUCCCUCCUAUCUCACCUGAGUUCAAGCUCCCAGGUUCUCUUGCAGCUAGAAGAGGCCCUGAACCCCAGUUCUAGCUACUGGGCUGUGCAGGAUGCCCUGUCCUA